Molecule: ribosomal RNA, 1451 nt
Filed under: uncultured organism
Description: SSU rRNA
Rfam family: Bacterial small subunit ribosomal RNA
Source: RNAcentral
UGAACGCUAGCUACAGGCUUAACACAUGCAAGUCGAGGGGCAGCAUGGUCUUAGCUUGCUAAGGCCGAUGGCGACCGGCGCACGGGUGAGUAACACGUAUCCAACCUGCCGUCUACUCUUGGACAGCCUUCUGAAAGGAAGAUUAAUACAAGAUGGCAUCAUGAGUCCGCAUGUUCACAUGAUUAAAGGUAUUCCGGUAGACGAUGGGGAUGCGUUCCAUUAGAUAGUAGGCGGGGUAACGGCCCACCUAGUCUUCGAUGGAUAGGGGUUCUGAGAGGAAGGUCCCCCACAUUGGAACUGAGACACGGUCCAAACUCCUACGGGAGGCAGCAGUGAGGAAUAUUGGUCAAUGGGCGAGAGCCUGAACCAGCCAAGUAGCGUGAAGGAUGACUGCCCUAUGGGUUGUAAACUUCUUUUAUAAAGGAAUAAAGUCGGGUAUGGAUACCCGUUUGCAUGUACUUUAUGAAUAAGGAUCGGCUAACUCCGUGCCAGCAGCCGCGGUAAUACGGAGGAUCCGAGCGUUAUCCGGAUUUAUUGGGUUUAAAGGGAGCGUAGAUGGAUGUUUAAGUCAGUUGUGAAAGUUUGCGGCUCAACCGUAAAAUUGCAGUUGAUACUGGAUAUCUUGAGUGCAGUUGAGGCAGGCGGAAUUCGUGGUGUAGCGGUGAAAUGCUUAGAUAUCACGAAGAACUCCGAUUGCGAAGGCAGCCUGCUAAGCUGCAACUGACAUUGAGGCUCGAAAGUGUGGGUAUCAAACAGGAUUAGAUACCCUGGUAGUCCACACGGUAAACGAUGAAUACUCGCUGUUUGCGAUAUACUGCAAGCGGCCAAGCGAAAGCGUUAAGUAUUCCACCUGGGGAGUACGCCGGCAACGGUGAAACUCAAAGGAAUUGACGGGGGCCCGCACAAGCGGAGGAACAUGUGGUUUAAUUCGAUGAUACGCGAGGAACCUUACCCGGGCUUAAAUUGCAGAUGAAUUACGGUGAAAGCCGUAAGCCGCAAGGCAUCUGUGAAGGUGCUGCAUGGUUGUCGUCAGCUCGUGCCGUGAGGUGUCGGCUUAAGUGCCAUAACGAGCGCAACCCUUGUUGUCAGUUACUAACAGGUUCCGCUGAGGACUCUGACAAGACUGCCAUCGUAAGAUGUGAGGAAGGUGGGGAUGACGUCAAAUCAGCACGGCCCUUACGUCCGGGGCUACACACGUGUUACAAUGGGGGGUACAGAGGGCCGCUACCACGCGAGUGGAUGCCAAUCCCCAAAACCUCUCUCAGUUCGGACUGGAGUCUGCAACCCGACUCCACGAAGCUGGAUUCGCUAGUAAUCGCGCAUCAGCCACGGCGCGGUGAAUACGUUCCCGGGCCUUGUACACACCGCCCGUCAAGCCAUGGGAGCCGGGGGUACCUGAAGUGCGUAACCGCGAGGAGCGCCCUAGGGUAAAACUGGUGACUGGGGCUAAG